RNAcentral lists this ribosomal RNA (498 nucleotides) under uncultured bacterium. RNAcentral describes it as "partial 16S ribosomal RNA". It matches the Rfam family "Bacterial small subunit ribosomal RNA", at positions 28 to 523 of the family's 1533-position model. The record is from RNAcentral.
GAUGAACGCUGGCGGUGUGCCUAAUACAUGCAAGUCGAACGGUAACGCGGGGCAACCUGGCGACGAGUGGCGAACGGGUGAGUAAUGCAUCGGAACGUACCCAGUUGUGGGGGAUAGCUCGGCGAAAGCCGGAUUCAUACCGCAUACGACCUACGGGUGAAAGCGGGGGAUCGCAAGACCUCGCGCAGUUGGAGCGGCCGAUGUCAGAGUAGGUUGUUGGUGGGGUAAAGGCUCACCAAGCCGACGAUGUGUAGCUGGUCUGAGAGGACGACCAGCCACACUGGGAAUGAGACACGGCCCAGACUCCUACGGGAGGCAGCAGUGGGGAAUUUUGGACAAUGGGGGCAACCCUGAUCCAGCCAUGCCGCGUGCGGGAAGAAGGCCUUCGGGUUGUAAACCGCUUUUGUCGGGGAAGAAAUACUCCGGGCUAAUACCCUGGAAGGAUGACGGUACCCGAAGAAUAAGCACCGGCUAACUACGUGCCAGCCGCCGCCGUAA